ACCGGUCGACGUUGCUGAACCGCGAAGUUGAUUGUUUUAGCUUGCACACGAUUCGUGCACCGGGAAACGAGAAAAAGAGAGAGGGAGUGAUAAAAAAAAGGAGGAGGGUAUGGUAGUGGGGUAACGUCACGACGCAUGUUCCGUACUAUCGAAUAUAUUCGAAUGACAGGUGGUGCGGCUUUACUGUCUCUCACUGUACGUGCUAUGCUACGCCGAGGUUAGUGCAAGUGUUCAUCGAGUUCGUGUGUGUUUAUUCCUUCUGUUUAUUUUGUUUAUUCGUGUCAAUUUGUGAUCGUGGAUAAAACCAUAAACAUAUAACAACGGAACGCACAUUUUUGGUAGGGUGUCGAGAGAGAGAGAGAGAGAGAGGGUAGAAGAAAAAACAGGAUUUGAGGAUAAAUAAAUAUAUUCUAGUGUCAUGAUCGCGCGUGGUGUUCAACGGAGUUGUCUGUAGAAGGUUUUUUGAGUCUUAUAUGAUGUAUCAUCCCGUGAAUUCGUACGAGCUGCCCAAGACAUUUGGCUCCGUAAGAAAAGCAUUAUUUGAAGGACGCACCAAUAGACGACGCAUAGAGCGGCGAGGAUUUUCGUUUUUGUGGUCCGGAAGCGAAGUUGGGACAUCUAUAUGGGGCAAUGCGUGUCUCGUAAGGCGGGCGCCGUCAUCGCAGCAUCCGAGCAUCACGGCUCGCCGUCAUACCGAAUUAUGGAGAAGCCCCCGAAGAAUCAAAACGAGAGCAAGGGUGCGACGAAGAGAGCGCCGUACACACGUGGCACAGCGACGUCAUUUGGUUUCCGCAGACGACCUUCAUCGGGAAUCCCGAUGCCCGUAGGGGCGUCCUACGGCAACGAUGGUACAGGAACGACGAUGCAUCAGCGUUCAAAGUCAGCGGGUCCGGAGCAAGAGCGUAGAAGGGACGAGGACAGUUGUCACCAGCGGUUCCACAGUUCGUCGUCGGGUCGCUCGACGCCGAGGCUCGCACCGCCCAAGAAAGAAGCUGCAUCGACGGUGAACGGACUGCGCACCAAUCGCUUUGGUUUUCGUCAGCCGCAGCCUCGAUACACCAACAAAGUUGGUGACAUUUCUAGCAGUCACAGCGCCAGUCAUUACAACCAAGAAAAAGUGAGUCAUCAGCAGCAUCAGUUGCUCCAAAAUCAUCAUCAGCAGCAGCAGCAGCAGCCUCAGCAAAUAUUCCAGCAGCAGCGCGACAUCCAUCAAGAAAGUUACGGGAUCGGUAGACAACUGGGACGCCCGGGGCACGAGCGUCAAUCUUACGUGACAGCACCGUCCUCGAAGCUGCGACCAUCACCUGUAAACAAUCCUCCGACGUACGCUCAUCAAACAGCCCCGAAUGCCGAGACCGAGCGACGCACUUCCGGGAUACCCGAACCCAUCAGCAAGUACACCCUCCACACUUCGCACUUGCCGCUGCCUCAAUUCGCCGUCAGAAUGAACGAGGCUAACCCCAAAGUGGCUAAAACCGUAGCCAAUCAGAGCAGAAAAGUGUCAACGACUUCUAAGGGCUCGAACAGCUCGAAGGAGGGCUCAGGCACCGAAGACUCGGGGCUUGGAAGCCAGCAGGGUUAUCCAGUCGAGCACGACAUCGCCCGGGACGCUGGUGUCGAUUAUCGCGACUCGGGGACAACGGCGCUCCGCAGAAACCACGGCAGACCGAGAAAUCUCCGAAUGGUACUCAGCGGUAAGAGCUUCGACGUCCGCGACGUCGAGGACGACAGUACGGUGACGGAAAUAUCCGUCAUACCUUUGCCAAAGUCUUUUGCAACCGGAGCCAACUUGAAUACCGGUUUCGUUCGAGAUCGCGCCGUUCAAUACCAGAGAGUACUGAACAAGGACAACAGAUACACCGAUUCGACGACUUCCAUGUCGACCACUUCGUCCGAGGGCUACGACGAAGGUCUCGGCGAAGAAAAAGUGUACAAAGACCGUUCCCACAACGAGAAAUUGGCCUCGAUAAAAUCGGACUUCAGUCCACCGAGCUCGGACGAUCCGGAAUACGGACACGGCGAAGCCAUGGCCGACGAGUACUCUCUCAGCUCCAGCGACGAAUGUCGCGGCAACAACAAUUCGCGCCAACAUCUCAAAACCAUUUCAAACGCUGCGAAAAGUGGCGCCCUACCAAAAAGUACCCUCCGCUCGGUUUUGCUGACCAUCGAAGAUCCCGCUUUCGCUGCUGCUGCCGCCACCACGACCAGCCUCAUCGACGACGAAACUUCACCCGUCGACAGCCUCGUCGAUAGUCUUACUGCGAGUAUCACACAGUCCGAUGGUAAAAAUUCGAGGAAAGAAUGCGUCAUGGAAAGGUCCGGAUGCACGUUGGAAGACGACAGCCCUGGGACUCCCACCAAUGCAUCCAACUCGCUCAGCCUCUCCGAGGGACGGGAAUUCUUUGAUGAUGAAAUCGCCGAUCAACCUGGACUCACUUUCGAUGACACCCUCAGAAACGGUGCCGAUACACAAUCGGUUGUUACCGCGAGCCAUCCUGUCACUGAAAACAGUCAUACACUCGUUGAAUCUGCUCCGAAAAGCAGUUUACUGCAGGGACGCAGCGUCGAAAACAGUCCGAUUCACGGCCGACGAAUCAGCCGUGCCGGAAGCGUCGGUACACUCUCACCCUGCGAAUCCAUCACUUCGGACGACCUCAUGCUCGACUACGAAUGCAGCGAGGAUCGCUCGUACGAUGAAUCGAACAGACGACUGGACUCGAAUACGGCUCUGCACGAGCUCGACGACGCAACUAUUAAGGACGUGAUGAGAGAAUGGAGUACAAUAAUGGGUACAGCUCAGAAUCAUUCCAAUUCGAAUUUGGCCAACAACAACGUCAGCACUGGCAACAAUAACAAUAAUCAUACGAACUCUGAAUCCGGGAUUGCCAAUGCAAGAACUUCGAGACUGUUGCGAAACAGAUCUGGCACCGAUUCACCGCGCUCGCUCGACAGCGUGCGAACCCGACAAGUUUCCAAUCCCUUCAGGCCAGUCUUCACGGGAAAUGUCCAAUCACCGAGUCUCGAUUCCGGUGACGAGGGCAGCCUCAGGGUUGAACGUUUCACUUAUCAUCAGGACAUUGUUUCCAUCAAGACUGAUCUGUUGAAACUCAUGCGAGUAGUUCAGGAGCCAGGAGAGAACGGUUUGACGAGGGCUGAAACUCUCAACCCAUUCAGCACGACUAUGGUGAAUGGCCUCUUUAACAACCUGAACGAAGAUGGAACUACGGACACGAGCACCAAUCCGAUUAACGGGAGUGUCAACGUUGCCGACGAACUGACAGACCUACGGAGACAAGUCGUUUUUCUACAAGGACAACUCGAAGACAAGGACAGAACGAUACAGCAACUUCAGAUGCAAAUAUCGAAGCAUCAAGAUCUCAGUCAGAGCAGCGCAUCGUCCAUGAACGGUAGUUCUUCCUUCAACAAAGACACGUGCAACGCAACAACGCAAACGGAAAAGAUGCGACCUGUAUCCGCUGGGCCUUCUUUACUGCAGUCACUUCCACAGGACAGUGGCAUGGGGCCUCUUGUUAGCUUCAGGAUCGGGAAGGUAGAGUGCGUCAGUCUGUGUGACUUAGUAUUGGGUUACUUGCUCUUGUGUACAUUCAAUCUACUGAUUUAUAUGCACCUCAUAAAUUUUCGGCCUUUACCAGCUCUGUGGUUCAAUUAAUGCCUGUAUUUUAAGAAAAGAAACUAAAGAUAACUGCAUGUGAUAUUAAUUCUAAAAGGUCUCGUUCGACCAAAACGUUAUGUCGUUCCUUUUUGUGUUGAAUUUUUUUUUCAAUUUUAUUCAUAGUGCAAUAGACACUAAACAAUUGUCAUAUCAAUUACCACGAGGAAUUGACACGGAUGCUUAACUCGUUUUAUCCGCAUGAAGUUAUAAGAAAUUUUUCAUUUUUUCUACCGUACAAACGCAUCAUAUUGAAAAUAUUGAAGUAACGACCUAGAACUUUCGUAUAUCGUAAAUCAUAUCGGAUCGUAAUUGGAUUCACAAUUAACAAUGUUUCAUGCUGCGAUGCUUAGCCGUGUGCGUUGGAGUGACUCGUGGAAUCGUCAACGUCCCCCAUCGCUCGCAGACAUCAACAUGACAAGGAAUCUUCGUAAGCCGAGCGACCGAUCGCCCCGUACGUCGAGACCUCGUCCUGACGAAACAGGAUCAAUACGACACAA
RNAcentral lists this unclassified non-coding RNA (4170 nucleotides) under Venturia canescens. Its description in RNAcentral is "uncharacterized LOC122409872, transcript variant X5". The record is from RNAcentral. Lineage: Eukaryota; Metazoa; Arthropoda; Insecta; Hymenoptera; Ichneumonidae.